This 758-nucleotide long non-coding RNA is filed under the name Phascolarctos cinereus (koala). RNAcentral's name for it is "lncRNA (ENSPCIG00000033635.1)". Lineage: Eukaryota; Metazoa; Chordata; Mammalia; Diprotodontia; Phascolarctidae. The record is from RNAcentral.
UGUGAUUAUUUCUUUCAUUGUCUUUUGAAUACAACAUACUUAACAUUUUCUCUUUUUGAUGUCUUGCAGUGUAGAAACUUCGCUGUGUUAGUAGAUCUUCAUAUUUUGCCUCAAGGUUCAAGAAAAUCACCAGCUGGUUUUCAGAAUAGAAAAAAAGGAUAUAGGCUUCGCAUAACAGCUUAUUUCAUCAAAAGAGAGAUUCACCUUCAUUGUAUUGUGGGGAAGCCGAGUUAUGGAUGAAAAAAUAGAAACAAAGAUUAAUAACACAAGCAAAUUACAACUAGGUGGAGAAGUAUACUACAGACACCCAGAGAAGCCCAUCAAAAAAAUGGGGUGGGUUGGAGAUAGAUGUAAACCUAGGAAGGUAAAAAGGGUUAAAAAGUGUUAAUUUAUUGAAUAGAACUAUAUGAUCAUUAUUAAUGAGACCAAUAGUAUGUUUGCCAUACAUGUAAGUAUAAUGAAAUUGAAGACUUUUUAGUUUUGUUUUUAAAGAAAAGAAGUAGGUAGCAGGUUUAUAUGAGUACUGUCCUACAAAGUAGUCAUGUUUAGAAUAUAUACUUAUUCCAAUUCAGUCUAAUCUAACAAACAUUUAUUAAGUAUUCAUUAUGUGUCAGGCACUGGGGAUAUUAAGAUAGAAAAUGUAAACAGUCCAUAUCCUCAAAGAGCUUACAUUCCAAUUGUAAUGUUGGGUAAUUGGUGCUCCAAUUGAUGGAAUCACAGAAAAUAAAAGACAGAUAACAAAGGUAAUGGAGUAUUAA